Long non-coding RNA from Hemicordylus capensis (graceful crag lizard), 676 nucleotides. RefSeq lists it as uncharacterized. NCBI's taxonomy places the organism in Eukaryota, Metazoa, Chordata, Lepidosauria, Squamata, Cordylidae. The record is from RefSeq and is a predicted model, not a curated record. The transcript is spliced from 4 exons.
GGGGAAGGGAGUCUCAAGCAGCAUCCCACAGCGUUCUGUGGCUCCACACAAGCACUGGAAGGGGAGGAUACUGACCAUAUAUAUACCCACGCUGGAACUGAGCUUCUCAGGCUUGGAGGCUGGAGAACUGGGCCAAUUUCAGUAGAGGAAGAUGGGAAGCAAGAAGACAGAGCAAAGUGAUUGAAUCAAAGGUCUCCAGGGCCAAAAGUCUCCAUUUGAGCUUGUGAUAUGGCAUGGAGGCCUACUGCUGUUCAGAAGCAAAAACAAAUGAAACAUCCCACUGGGCAUGACCAAGCCCCUGGGCAUAUCUAAAACAGCUCUUUGGAUCCUGGCCAGCAUGUAGGUAUUACGGGUGAGUGAGGAGAAACAGACCUGAUAUAUUUAAAAAAGGAUGUACUCAAUGUUUUCCUCUGCUAUAAAUUCAUUGCCUACAGAAUCAUUGAUCCUUGAGUUGAAACUGUAUGAAUAAAAUAAAUAAUUGGAAAAUAAAAAAUGCAUUGUGUUUGCUAGAAGGAAAAUAUUAAACAUAUAGUAAACAUUACUACAUGGUUUAUCCUUGAGUGUUGGCUGUUAACACCAUAUCUGAAAUAGUUCAUUGGCUUUACCAUAAUAUGGUAAGUGGCCAUGCACCCUUUCAGGCUGUUUUUUUUUGCACCCCUUUCAAGCUGUUUUUGGA